GCCCAGCUAGCUCAGUCUGUAGAGCAUAAGACUCUUAAUCUCAGGGUUGUAGGUUCGAGCCCCGCUAUGGGUG
Mus musculus (house mouse) is the source of this 73-nucleotide non-coding RNA. NCBI's taxonomy places the organism in Eukaryota, Metazoa, Chordata, Mammalia, Rodentia, Muridae. The record is from Rfam.